CCCUUUCAAGGCAAAUUGCUGCAAUACUUUGUAUCCUGCAAGUAUUGCACUUUUUUGCUUUGAAAGGU
Non-coding RNA from Branchiostoma floridae (Florida lancelet), 68 nucleotides. NCBI's taxonomy places the organism in Eukaryota, Metazoa, Chordata, Leptocardii, Amphioxiformes, Branchiostomatidae. The record is from Rfam.